GGGAUAUUAAACAGAAACAUAUUUUGACACUCCCCCUCAAGCUGGUGAAUAGGUGUUCUCCAUUCCCAGCUUGAAUACAAUUCUUUCAAAGUUGCUACUGUUUAUCCCUUUAGUUAGAAGAUCUGCAAGAUUGUCAUGGGAGGAAUUAUAUGGAGUACAAAUUAGGCCAAAAAGAAAUCUCAAGUUGCUGCAAUGAAGGCAGCAAAAAGGGACACAAUGUGGCUAAGAAAUAGAAACCGCAAUGAAGGCGGAAAAAGGACCACAAUGAAGGUGGCUAAGAUUUCACGAAAAUGGAAACCGCAAUGAAGGUGGCAAAAGGACCACAAUUAAGGUGGUUAAGAUUUUAGGAAAAUAGAAACCACAAUAAAGGCGGUAGUUUUAUGCGGAAGCAAGGGCCACAUGAAAGUGCCAUUCGGAAACUCAAUGGAUCAUAGUUUGGGACUCGUCUCAUAGCUGUUGACUGGGUACUGAGGAUGAUGUCGAGCAUGUUGACAAACAAUCUGAUCAUGGAGAUGAUAGUGAUACCAAUGGUGUCGUAGUAGAAGAUGUUCCUUCUAAAGAUGAUUUUGACAAGGAAGCAGAUAUUGCAAGAAAGGUUCAAGAUGCAAAUAGUAAAGCAUCUAAGGAGUCUGACAAGGUUUCAGGUGUUUCUAAGUCUGAAACUUCCAGCAGAGCAUGGGUGAAAGUAGUAAUAGUCAAUUUUCACAAUCUGAAGACGAUAACCAAGCUGAAUCUGAAAUGGCAAAUGAACAAGGUACUAGCGAUUCUGGCCCAUCUGUUCCCCACCUAAUGACCCGGUGAUUCUACUCCUGUCACUCAAACACUCCCUCCUCCUAUUGACAAAACGUCCAGCCGGCAAUGGUACAACACUCCCCCUCAAGCUAAAGCUUAACUUUAGCUUGCUACAACAAAACAAUGUUUCGCUCCACAAAAUAAUAAAAAAGAUGGAAAGGCAACUCAGGGAUACAUUUGAAGUCGGAGAAAAUUGCUAUAAAUAUAGCCUAGCCAGAUAGCCUGAUUGAUCAUCAGUCUGAGAGAAAUUCAUGGCAAGCAAUUGAACAAAGCAAGCUCCGUUCUUCUAAAAGACUGCAUUUGGAAGCUUCAAAACAAUAAUAUUGGAGAUUCAAAAUAUUUAAACUUGAAUAUGUUUCAAGGAGAGAGCGGCAUGCUUCAGGGAGAUAAAGGCACGAACAGUACAUCACAUCAUGAAAGGACUUCCAGAGGGGAACUGGAGACAGGUGCAUGCAUUCUCACGCAAUAAUGUAAGAACAAAAAAAAACAGGAAUAGCAGGUGAAGCUCCAACACCACAACUGCUUAACCUUCUUUUAGACUCAAUCGCACCAUGAACACUCAUAAUAAUAUACACAUUCUACAGAAAGUUUCCUUUCCAAUCACAAUUGACUCUGCAUUCUCAAAAAGAGGUUUGAACGCAGAACCCCCAAACUCUGCACAAACACCAAGGUCUGUUUGCUGAUUGUAUCGUAGGUCACUUUGUGGAAUCAAAAUGUGACCC
Non-coding RNA from Cicer arietinum (chickpea), 1514 nucleotides. Lineage: Eukaryota; Viridiplantae; Streptophyta; Magnoliopsida; Fabales; Fabaceae. The record is from RefSeq and is a predicted model, not a curated record.